Molecule: ribosomal RNA, 510 nt
Filed under: uncultured bacterium
Lineage: Bacteria
Description: partial 16S ribosomal RNA
Rfam family: Bacterial small subunit ribosomal RNA
Source: RNAcentral
GACGAACGCUGGCGGCGUGCUUAACACAUGCAAGUCGAACGAAGAGGGAUGGCUGUUUGCUUCUAUCAAACUUAGUGGCGAAUGGGUGAGUAAUGCGUAACCUACCCGCCCUUCUGAGGGGGCCAACAGUAGGAAACGACUGCUAAUACUGCAUACGAUCUAACCACGGCAUCGAGGAGGGAUGUAAGGCGGUUUCUAUUUAUAAGCUAUCACUGCAGGAGGGGAGUGCGUUUGAUUAGUUAGUUGGCGGGGUAACGGCCCCCCGAGGGGAUGAUCAGUAGCCGGUCAGGGAGGGUGAGCGGCCACAUUGGGACUGGGACACGGCCCAGACUCCUACGGGAGGCAGCAGUGGGGAAUCUUCCGCGAAGGACGGGAGACUGACGGAGCAACGCCGCGUGAGUGAUGACGGCCUUCGGGUUGUGAAACUCUGUUAUUCGGGACGAAAGGCCUUCUUGCGAGUAAUUAGAAGGAUUGACGGUACCUGAAUAAAGAGCCACGGCUAACUACGGG